GACGAACGCUGGCGGCGUGCUUAACACAUGCAAGUCGAACGGAAAGGCCCUGCUUUUGUGGGGUGCUCGAGUGGCGAACGGGUGAGUAACACGUGAGUAACCUGCCCUUGACUUUGGGAUAACUUCAGGAAACUGGGGCUAAUACCGGAUAGGAGCUCCUGCUGCAUGGUGGGGGUUGGAAAGUUUCGGCGGUUGGGGAUGGACUCGCGGCUUAUCAGCUUGUUGGUGGGGUAGUGGCUUACCAAGGCUUUGACGGGUAGCCGGCCUGAGAGGGUGACCGGCCACAUUAGGACUGAGAUACGGCCCAGACUCCUACGGGAGGCAUCAGUGGGGAAUAUUGCACAAUGGGCGGAAGCCUGAUGCAGCAACGCCGCGUGCGGGAUGACGGCCUUCGGGUUGUAAACCGCUUUCGCCUGUGACGAAGCGUGAGUGACGGUAAUGGGUAAAGAAGCACCGGCUAACUACGUG
RNAcentral lists this ribosomal RNA (468 nucleotides) under uncultured bacterium. Its description in RNAcentral is "partial 16S ribosomal RNA". It matches the Rfam family "Bacterial small subunit ribosomal RNA", at positions 28 to 507 of the family's 1533-position model. The record is from RNAcentral.